Molecule: ribosomal RNA, 253 nt
Filed under: uncultured bacterium
Lineage: Bacteria
Description: partial 16S ribosomal RNA
Rfam family: Bacterial small subunit ribosomal RNA
Source: RNAcentral
UACGUAGGGUGCGAGCGUUGUUCGGAGUUACUGGGCGUAAAGGGUGUGUAGGCGGUUGUUUAAGUUUGGUGUGAAAUCUCCCGGCUCAACUGGGAGGGUGCGCCGAAUACUGAAUGACUAGAGUGCGGGAGAGGAAAGUGGAAUUCCUGGUGUAGCGGUGAAAUGCGUAGAUAUCAGGAGGAACACCGGUGGUGUAAACGGCUUUCUGGACCAUAACUGACGCUGAGGCACGAAAGCGUGGGUAGCAAACAGG